AUGUGGAUUGUCCGCGGGCUCAAUGCUCCGGCACGCAGAAAUGCAAUUUUUCAGGUGGUUAACUCGGCAGGACCGGCUAUCGUAUGCCUCCAAAAAACAAAACUGCAUGAUGUACCCGUGAACAUUGUACGUCGGUGUCUUGGCACCAAAUAUGAAAACUUUUUCUACUUGCCGUCUGUGGGCACUCGAGGUGGGAUCUUGGUGGCUCGGGAUGCCGCCGUUAUGCGGCUUUCGAAUCCGCACUACACGGAUCAUACGUUAACAGUGCUUGUGAUGUGCCCGGAGGACGAAAGGCCAUGGUGGCUUACUUGUGUCUACGGGCCACAAGAUCAGGUGGACUGA
RNAcentral lists this ribosomal RNA (342 nucleotides) under Triticum aestivum (bread wheat). Its description in RNAcentral is "partial small subunit ribosomal RNA". The record is from RNAcentral. Lineage: Eukaryota; Viridiplantae; Streptophyta; Magnoliopsida; Poales; Poaceae.